GCCGCUGUGGUGAAAUGGUAAACACAGCAGACUUAAAAUCUGCUGGGAGGUAACUCCCUUGCCGGUUCGAGUCCGGCCAGCGGCACCC
Molecule: transfer RNA, 88 nt
Filed under: Prosthecobacter fusiformis
Lineage: Bacteria; Pseudomonadati; Verrucomicrobiota; Verrucomicrobiia; Verrucomicrobiales; Verrucomicrobiaceae
Also listed under: 1 other name
Description: tRNA-Leu
Rfam family: tRNA
About the family: Transfer RNA (tRNA) molecules are approximately 80 nucleotides in length.
Source: RNAcentral